GACGAACGCUGGCGGCGUGCUUAACACAUGCAAGUCGAGCGGUAAGGCCCUUUCGGGGGGUACACGAGCGGCGAACGGGUGAGUAACACGUGGGUGACCUGCCCUCAGCUCUGGGAUAAGCCUGGGAAACCGGGUCUAAUACUGGAUAUGACUCCAUGACGCAUGUUGGUGGGGUGGAAAGCCUUGCGCGGCUGAGGAUGGGCCCGCGGCCUAUCAGCUUUGUUGGUGGGGUGAGGCCUACCAAGGCGACGACGGGUAGCCGGCCUGAGAGGGCGACCGGCCACACUGGGACUGAGACACGGCCCAGACUCCUACGGGAGGCAGCAGUGGGGAAUCUUGCGCAAGUGGGCGAAAGCCUGACGCAGCGACGCCGCGUGAGGGAUGACGGCCU
This 391-nucleotide ribosomal RNA is filed under the name uncultured bacterium. RNAcentral's name for it is "bacterial SSU rRNA". It matches the Rfam family "Bacterial small subunit ribosomal RNA", at positions 28 to 417 of the family's 1533-position model. The record is from RNAcentral.